CCUACGGGAGGCAGCAGUGGGGGAUAUUGCACAAUGGGGGGAACCCUGAUGCAGCGACGCCGCGUGGGUGAAGGAGCGCCUCGGCGCGUAAAGCCCUAUCGGCAGGGAAGAAGGUGGCGGUACCUGGACUAAAAAGCCCCGGCUAAUAACGUGCCAGCAGCAGCGGUAAUACGUAGGGGGCAAGCGUUAUCCGGAUUUACUGGCGGUAAGGGGGGGGCAGAGGGCAGCGCAAGCCAGGGGUGAAAGCCCGCGGCCCAACUCCGGAACUGCUUUUGAAACUGCGCGGCUGGAGUGCAGGAGGGGCAGGCGGAAUUCCUGGUGUAGGGGUGAAAUGCGUAGAUAUCAGGAGGAACACCGGUGGCGAAGGCGGCCUGCUGGACUACGACUGACGUUGAGGCCCGAAAGCGUGGGGAGCAAACAGGAUUAGAUACCCGAGUAGUC
RNAcentral lists this ribosomal RNA (441 nucleotides) under uncultured bacterium. RNAcentral describes it as "partial 16S ribosomal RNA". It matches the Rfam family "Bacterial small subunit ribosomal RNA", at positions 338 to 795 of the family's 1533-position model. The record is from RNAcentral.